AAUGACAGCGGUUGAAUUAGGACGAGGUGUGGGUAAACUGGCUCAAUGACAGCGGUUGAAUUAGGACGAGGUGUUGGUAAACUGGCUCAAUGACAGCGGUUGAAUUAGGACGAGGUGUUGGUAAACUGGCUCAAUGACAGCGGGUGAAUU
Oncorhynchus keta (chum salmon) is the source of this 150-nucleotide long non-coding RNA. RefSeq lists it as uncharacterized. NCBI's taxonomy places the organism in Eukaryota, Metazoa, Chordata, Actinopteri, Salmoniformes, Salmonidae. The record is from RefSeq and is a predicted model, not a curated record. The transcript has 3 exons.